Molecule: unclassified non-coding RNA, 584 nt
Filed under: Hevea brasiliensis (rubber tree)
Lineage: Eukaryota; Viridiplantae; Streptophyta; Magnoliopsida; Malpighiales; Euphorbiaceae
Source: RNAcentral
AUGUUCUUUCGCUUUCAAUUUUGUUUUUUAUGUUAUGAAUUUUGUGAAUGCUGUCUUUAGAUCAUUGCUUUCGGGUAGUUGUUUUUAAAUCCGAGUAAGGUGGAUAUAGUAGAAUUCUAGUUUGGUUUAGUGGUUGAAUCAUGUGAGGUCCAUUAAGUGUGGAUUAUCUUGAAGGGUUUUUACUGGUCCUAAGAAGUUUUGUGUUACAGCUUUUCUUUACCCACUUUGUUCAAGUAGUUUCAGGGCGAUUUUGUCAAUUUAGGUAGGUAUAGUAACUUCUCAUUUGUUCUGGAUUUGCGUAGGAGAUGCACUGAGUUCAGUGGAUGCUACAUCCUAUGCGCGUCUUAUUUGUUUAGACAUGUAAGGCGUCUUGCAUUAAAUUAGUAUUUGUUAAUAUUGCUAUCUUCAACGGUUUUUUUUUGGUACUUUUUAAUUGUUUGCCGUAUGUACAUGUUAUGCUAUUAAGCAUCUCUUUAUGUUAGGUGUCUCUAUUUUGUGGUUUGUCUAUGUUGUGUACCACUUAAUCUUCUAUGAUUUUGCUAAUAAGAGUUGCCUAUCCAGCAUGGCUCACGAGACAACAACGA